AAAUGUGAGGGCAAUCUCUCUGUGAUCUACCACCCCGUUGAUCUCCAGGGUUGAUUCAGCUGAUCUGGCUGGCUAAGUGUCCCCUUCCUCCGUCAAAGCUCUAUGUGAGUCCCUCCUGAAGCUGCAUACUCUGUUGGAGAAGUCCCCGAGUAGAGACUGUCUGGUCUUUCUUUGGUUGAGGGUUUAGGAGUAGUUGCGCUUCCCUGCUAGAACCUCCAGGAAAGCUCCCCAGGCCCAUUUUUAGGAGAAGGUAGGAUGUAAGCUCCCAAGACUCCAGACACAUCCAAAUGAGGUACUACAGGUGGCAGUCUGUCUUU
RNAcentral lists this small nuclear RNA (317 nucleotides) under Erinaceus europaeus (western European hedgehog). Its description in RNAcentral is "7SK RNA". It matches the Rfam family "7SK RNA". From Rfam's summary of the family: 7SK was discovered as an abundant small nuclear RNA in the mid-70s but a possible function has only recently been suggested. Two independent studies have found that 7SK RNA binds the CDK9/cyclin T complex (known as elongation factor P-TEFb). P-TEFb activates transcription by phosphorylating the C-terminal domain of RNA polymerase II. The record is from Rfam by way of RNAcentral. Lineage: Eukaryota; Metazoa; Chordata; Mammalia; Eulipotyphla; Erinaceidae.